Long non-coding RNA from Homo sapiens (human), 552 nucleotides. Ensembl annotates it as MYO3B antisense RNA 1. Its record names the gene MYO3B-AS1. NCBI's taxonomy places the organism in Eukaryota, Metazoa, Chordata, Mammalia, Primates, Hominidae. The record is from Ensembl.
GAUCCUCUCUGUUGUGAUUCAUCCCCCCGGGGCCCUACAGUUUCUCCUUCCUGACUCUUACAUUUCUUUGGAUGGCAUCAUUAUUUACCUGUCUCCUCCCAUAGUUAGGUGCCAAGCACUGUGGAUUCUGCCUCUCAGUGUCCAGACACCCAUUUUCCUUCCCACUGUUCCUUCCCCAUGGAGAAGCCUGUGGCUGGCUGACAGCAGAGAGAGAUGCUCAACUUGGAGAAGGUGUUACCUGGGCCAGGUGGGGAAGGUUUGUUUGCAGAGCAAAGAAGUGAAGCCUAUUCAACGUGAAAAAGAUGAGGAUGAAGACCUUUAUUAUGAUCCACUUCCAAGUAAUGAACAAGCAUGGGUAUGAUGGCUAGAGCUUGAGCAGCCAUUGUGGACAUCAGAUGAACUUGAAAGUGAAAACUAUGAGCUGAAUACGACAAAGCAAACAGAUAGAAAACUGGAUUCAUUAUGACAUUGCAAAGCUGCCAGACCAGCUCUAGUCUGCUUCCCCCUAAUCUUCCUUACUAAGAGAGAGAAAUAAACUUCCAUCUUCUUCAA